AGAAUCAACGCUGGCGGCGUGCCUAACACAUGCAAGUCGCACGAGAAAGGGUAGCAAUACCUGAGUAAAGUGGCGCACGGGUGAGUAACACGUGAAUAAUCUACCUCCGAGUGGGGGAAUAAACUGAGAGAAAUCUUAGCUAAUACCGCAUAACACUUACGAGUCAAAGCAGCAAUGCGCUUGGAGAGGAGUUCGCGGCAGAUUAGUUAGUUGGCGGGGUAAUGGCCCACCAAGACGAUGAUCUGUA
Molecule: ribosomal RNA, 247 nt
Filed under: uncultured bacterium
Lineage: Bacteria
Description: partial small subunit ribosomal RNA
Rfam family: Bacterial small subunit ribosomal RNA
Source: RNAcentral